Molecule: ribosomal RNA, 243 nt
Filed under: uncultured Lactobacillus sp.
Lineage: Bacteria; Bacillati; Bacillota; Bacilli; Lactobacillales; Lactobacillaceae
Description: partial 16S ribosomal RNA
Rfam family: Bacterial small subunit ribosomal RNA
Source: RNAcentral
GGGUAACCUGCCCAAGAGAUCGGGAUAACACCUGGAAACAGAUGCUAAUACCGGAUAACAAUAGAUGAUGCCUAUCAACUGUUUAAAAGAUGGUUCUGCUAUCACUCUUGGAUGGACCUGCGGUGCAUUAGCUAGUUGGUAGGGUAACGGCCUACCAAGGCGAUGAUGCAUAGCCGAGUUGAGAGACUGAUCGGCCACAUUGGGACUGAGACACGGCCCAAACUCCUACGGGAGGCAGCAGCC